AUUUUUCGAUUGCGAAAAUCGGUCCUCACAGCUGAAACAUUUUUUUGCCUUUUUUCAUAAACAAAAGAGUAUUUUUAAAAACUAACCACAUAACGUUUCUCACUUCACCAUAGUCAACUUAUAUUCAAAAGUAGAGCGAAUUUAAAAUUUUGAGCCUUGCCACAUAUUUCUCAUUUUGUUUGAUUUUUGUAGACAGUCGCUCUUAACAUGUUAUCAUGAACUAAAAUUUUGUUGCAGAUAUGCCAGUUUGUAUUUCGUUGCUGCAAUUGAAAAUAGUGACAAUGAAUUGAUAACUCUUGAGAUCAUUCACAGAUAUGUUGAACUAUUGGAUAAAUAUUUUGGAAGUGUAAGUAAUCAGUUUAAUACAGUAGAUUGUACAUACUAUAUCCACAGCAGAAAUGCUGUAUUAUAUAUAAUUAUUGUAUAAAGAUGUGAAUACAGAAGAAUGUCUUACACGCUACUUCAAAUGAACUGGAACACAUCAGUUUUUCCAAUGUAUGAAAGCCCUUUGUCAGGAAGCUAGUACAGGGUGCGGUAAUUCGCAUGUACUUAUGUACUGGAGGUGUGGUAUUAGCGAGGUUCAGAUUUGACCCCCACUAGACCACUACCGCUACCAUUAAUGGACUGGUUAAUCAGAUGCGUUUGAUAUAUCCAAUCAACCAAUCAGAUGCGUUUGAUAUAUCCAAUCAACCAAUCAGAUGCGUUUGAUAUAUCCAAUCAACCAAUCAGAUGCGUUUGAUAUAUCCAAUCAACCAAUCAGAUGCGUUUGAUAUAGCCAAUUAACCAAUCAGAUGUGUGCUAAGCCAAUGAGAGGUGGUGGUAGUGAAAGUUAAAUCUGAACCUGUCUAAUGUUACUGUCUGGUAGUUCUUUGUUUUGACGUAGGUAUGUGGUAUUCUAGCUAUCUGCGUACUUUUUCCUGGUAUCACAUGACCUUUCCAAGCCCAAAGUAUUCAAAGUCAUGUGUAAGUCUGACAUGUCUUGGCAUGAAACAUGAUUGGACUGACGAGACUAAGAAAUGUUGGAGUCAAUUGUAUGUAUUUGUAUGUGCAAUUUUGCUCCUUGUUCGUGCAAUUUCAGGUUACUGAAUGAAUACAUUUUAGAACACUGUACUUUUUGCACCUAUAUAAAUACUAAGUACACCUCGAGUCUUAUAGGUGUGUACCAGCUCAAGUACGCGGCAAUAAUAAUUGGAGUACCAGUCAAGUACGACUAAAAAUGUUGAAUGAUCACAACCUGAAGUAAACUACCUUCCUGACAAGAGUUGACGAGAGGCCUUUACUUGUUUAUUAAUUUGAAAGAGAUUUUUGUUUGUUUGGAGCAAAGUCUCUCGAUCAGAAAAUCAUUAGCAACAUUUACUAUAAUAUCAGUCUGUUGGAGAAUUUAUUCUUGUUGUUUUUCUUUUGUGAUCAUUGAUCGUUCUUGAUUGAUGAUAUUGAUUGUAUUUGUUGUUUUAACAUUGAUAUUGUGAAUUGUUAGGUUUGUGAACUUGAUAUAAUAUUCAAUUUUGAAAAGGUAAAUUGAAGUUUUAAAUGUUGUCAUUUUUAAACCUCAUGAAGCCAUAGUGGGCAUAUUACCCGGAUGAGUAAAAUUUUCUGUUUGUGCUUCAUUCCAAGCUGGAUUCAUUUCAUGUUUUAAUUUAUGUACUGGGCGUAUACCAAACACUCCAGGUUUUCCCCAGUUCCUUCCUUCAGUGUGGAUUAUGAAGAUUUUGCUAACAAAUCAAAUUUGCAGUUGCUCGCGGACAUUGGCUAAUAGCGAGCUGAAGCAAGCGACAACACGAACGUUGGCCGGAAGCAAAUUUGACGUUAUCAACCAACCAACAUUCUUGACCCAGUCUUUCAACGUUACUCAUGCCGUUCGUGUUGUCAAAAACGUCGCUUGGCUUAAGCUCGCUAAUAAUGCUCGAGCAGCUUUUCAAUAUUCACAUUGAUAUCGUGCUCAUCACUUCCUCCAUGAUCAAUCACAUUACAUGUCUAAUGAUUUGACUCAACGAUUCAUGCAACUAAAAAGUUAGUCUUAGUCCCACGGAAACUGGUACCAUACACUUGUGACGUAAUUAGCAUUAACUUGGUUUUGUUAUCUUGCUGAGCAGGCAUACUACAUGUUGGAUGAAUUGAUGCUCGGAGGUGAAAUUCAAGAAACAAGUAAAAAGAAUGUUUUGAAGUCUAUUCAAGCUCAAGAUCUCUUGCAAGAAGUAUGUAGAAAAUUUAUGACACUAUUGAGUUUCUACGUUUCUCACAAACAUCAUGCUGCAUGAUCAUAUACAUGUAGGACUGUUUUCUAGAUUGUCCCUUGUACACACGCAAAAAUCUCACAUCUUGAGGCAAGUCUGCCAAGAAGCUGUCAACAAGCUGUGUUAAUUCGCACUGCUUGUCCAAAGUUGUCAACAAGUAUGGAACAACUUGUUAACAGUUGUAACAACCUUGUUGAUAUUAUCAGACUUGUUGCAAGGUUUUCCAACAAGUCCAAUACAGUCCUGAUAUAACAAUAUUGUUACGACCUUGUGUCAUCAACCCUGUAACACUCUUGUUACAACAACUGGGAACAAGCAGUGAGAACACAACUUGUCGACAGAUUGUGAACAGUUUUGUAACAACUUGUUUGCAGAUCAGUACGUGUGUACACAAUAUGAAAUUAAUAUGCCUGAUUAUUAUGUAUGGUUCUUGUUUUUAUAGGAAGGUGAAAUACGCAGUGCAUUGGAGGAGAUGGGUUUGUCAUAGUCUUCGAAAUUUAGAACAUAAUAAUUGCAAUGAACAUAUAAUUUCCAAAAUUUCUUACUUGUACUCUCUUGAUAAUAAUUGAAUAUUGUAAGUGUACAUACAAUAUGUAAUUGUAGCGUUUUAUAUGAGAAUAAUGUCGAGUUAUUUACCUCAAUUGAUUUUACUGAGCUGAUUAAUACUAGCAUAUAAAUUUAACUGAGAUGAUAUAUAUCGGGAUAUUUUUAUGAAAACCGUCGAUGCAUAUGCAACCAAGUUUCAUUCACUCAGCGUAACAAGACUGUAUUCUCUGCGAAGUUUCGUCACUGUCUUACUGUAAUUUUGUUAACAUUUUCUGUAGCUAGACUGUAUCCUCAAUUAAAUCCACAAUUGUGUAAAACGUGCAUACAUG
Non-coding RNA from Paramuricea clavata, 3109 nucleotides. The record is from the annotation of a GenBank genome assembly. NCBI's taxonomy places the organism in Eukaryota, Metazoa, Cnidaria, Anthozoa, Malacalcyonacea, Plexauridae.